RNAcentral lists this ribosomal RNA (279 nucleotides) under uncultured bacterium. RNAcentral's name for it is "partial 16S ribosomal RNA". It matches the Rfam family "Bacterial small subunit ribosomal RNA", at positions 506 to 784 of the family's 1533-position model. The record is from RNAcentral.
UGCCAGCAGCCGCGGUAACACGGGGGGAGCAAGCGUUGUUCGGAUUCAUUGGGCGUAAAGAGCUCGUAGGCGGCUUCGUAAGUCAGGGGUGAAAGACCACGGCUCAACCGUGGAACCGCCUCUGAAACUACGAAGCUUGAGGCCGGGAGAGGAAAGUGGAAUUCCUGGAGUAGCGGUGAAAUGCGUAGAUAUCAGGAGGAACACCAGUGGCGAAGGCGGCUUUCUGGACCGAUACUGACGCUGAGACGCGAAAGCGUGGGGAGCAAACAGGAUUAGAUA